CGCGGCCUAUCAGCUUGUUGGUGGGGUAAUGGCCUACCAAGGCGACGACGGGUAGCCGGCCUGAGAGGGCGACCGGCCACACUGGGACUGAGACACGGCCCAGACUCCUACGGGAGGCAGCAGUGGGGAAUAUUGCACAAUGGGCGAAAGCCUGAUGCAGCGACGCCGCGUGAGGGAUGACGGCCUUCGGGUUGUAAACCUCUUUCAGCAGGGAAGAAGCUUUUGUGACGGUACCUGCAGAAGAAGCACCGGCUAACUACGUGCCAGCAGCCGCGGUAAUACGUAGGGUGCGAGCGUUGUCCGGAAUUAUUGGGCGUAAAGAGCUUGUAGGCGGUUUGUCGCGUCUGCUGUGAAAAUUCAGGGCUUAACCCUGGACGUGCAGUGGGUACGGGCAGACUAGAGUAUGGUAGGGGAGACUGGAAUUCCUGGUGUAGCGGUGGAAUGCGCAGAUAUCAGGAGGAACACCGAUGGCGAAGGCAGGUCUCUGGGCCAUUACUGACGCUGAGAAGCGAAAGCAUGGGGAGCGAACAGGAUUAGAUACCCUGGUAGUCCAUGCCGUAAACGUUGGGCGCUAGGCGUGGGUCUCAUUCCACGAGAUCCGUGUCGCAGCUAACGCAUUAAGCGCCCCGCCUGGGGAGUACGG
RNAcentral lists this ribosomal RNA (643 nucleotides) under uncultured bacterium. Its description in RNAcentral is "bacterial SSU rRNA". It matches the Rfam family "Bacterial small subunit ribosomal RNA", at positions 232 to 885 of the family's 1533-position model. The record is from RNAcentral.